UACAGAGGUCUCAAGCGUUGUUCGGAUUCAUUGGGCGUAAAGGGUGCGUAGGUGGCGGGGUAAGUCAGGUGUGAAAUUUCGGAGCUUAACUCCGAAACUGCAUUUGAUACUGCCUUGCUUGAGGACUGGAGAGGAGACUGGAAUUCACGGUGUAGCAGUGAAAUGCGUAGAGCUCGUGAGGAAGACCAGUGGCGAAGGCGGGUCUCUGGACAGUUCCUGACACUGAGGCACGAAGGCCAGGGGAGCAAACGGG
RNAcentral lists this ribosomal RNA (253 nucleotides) under uncultured bacterium. Its description in RNAcentral is "partial 16S ribosomal RNA". It matches the Rfam family "Bacterial small subunit ribosomal RNA", at positions 524 to 776 of the family's 1533-position model. The record is from RNAcentral.